CGGUAAUAGGUAGGUGGCAAGCGUGGUCCGGAUUUAUUGGGCGUUAAAGCGAGCGCAGGCGUUUUUUAAAGUCUGAUGUGAAAAGCCUUCGGCUAACCGAAGAAGUGCAUUAGAAACUGGGAAACUUGAGUGCAGAAGAGGACAGUGGAACUCCAUGUGUAGCGGUGAAAUGCGUAGAUAUAUGGAAGAACACCAGUGGCGAAGGCGGCUGUCUGGUCUGUAACUGACGCUGAGGCUCGAAAGUAUGGGGAGCGAACAGGAUUAGAUACCCUGGUAGUCCAUACCGUAAACGAUGAAUGCUAAGUGUUGGAGGGUUUCCGCCCUUCAGUGCUGCAGCUAACGCAUUAAGCAUUCCGCCUGGGGAGUACGACCGCAAGGUUGAAACUCAAAGGAAUUGACGGGGGCCCGCACAAGCGGUGGAGCAUGUGGUUUAAUUCGAAGCAACGCGAAGAACCUUACCAGGUCUUGACAUCCUUUGACCACUGUAGAGAUACAGCUUUCCCUUCGGGGACAAAGUGACAGGUGGUGCAUGGUUGUCGUCAGCUCGUGUCGUGAGAUGUUGGGUUAAGUCCCGCAACGAGCGCAACCCUUAUGACUAGUUGCCAGCAUUUAGUUGGGCACUCUAGUAAGACUGCCGGUGACAAACCGGAGGAAGGUGGGGAUGACGUCAAAUCAGCAUGCCCCUUAUGACCUGGGCUACACACGUGCUACAAUGGUCGGUACAACGAGUUGCGAACCCGCGAGGGUAAGCUAAUCUCUUAAAGCCGAUCUCAGUUCGGAUUGUAGGCUGCAACUCGCCUACAUGAAGCCGGAAUCGCUAGUAAUCGCGGAUCAGCACGCCGCGGUGAAUACGUUCCCGGGCCUUGUACACACCGCCCGUCACACCAUGAGAGUUUGUAACACCCGAAGUCGGUGGGGUAACC
RNAcentral lists this ribosomal RNA (923 nucleotides) under Loigolactobacillus coryniformis. RNAcentral describes it as "bacterial SSU rRNA". It matches the Rfam family "Bacterial small subunit ribosomal RNA", at positions 518 to 1440 of the family's 1533-position model. Lineage: Bacteria; Bacillati; Bacillota; Bacilli; Lactobacillales; Lactobacillaceae. The record is from RNAcentral.